Molecule: long non-coding RNA, 379 nt
Organism: Oncorhynchus keta (chum salmon)
Lineage: Eukaryota; Metazoa; Chordata; Actinopteri; Salmoniformes; Salmonidae
Exons: 3
Source: RefSeq, a predicted model, not a curated record
UCUGGUGUGUUAACCAGGUGUGGUGUGUUAACCAGGUCUGGUGUGUUAACCAGGUCUGGUGUGUUAACCAGGUCUGGUGUGUUAACCAGGUGGUGUGUGUUAACCAGGUGUGGUGUAUUAACCAGGUGUGGUGUGUGUUAACCAGGUGUGGUGUGUUAACCAGGUGUGGUGUGUUAACCAGGUGUGGUGUGUUAACCAGGUGUGGUGUGUUAACCAGGUGUGGUGUGUGUCUCUGAUCUCACCCCUUGUGGAUGAUGUCAAACUUGAUGCCUUUGGCCUGGACGACCCUCUUGAAGCCUCUGUGUUGACGGUUGAUGUUCAGGUUAAACUUCUCUUUAAACUCUGGACUGUUGCUGUUCUUCACUGUACUGGUCUUAUC